RNAcentral lists this ribosomal RNA (506 nucleotides) under uncultured bacterium. RNAcentral describes it as "partial 16S ribosomal RNA". It matches the Rfam family "Bacterial small subunit ribosomal RNA", at positions 28 to 523 of the family's 1533-position model. The record is from RNAcentral.
GAUGAACGCUAGCUACAGGCUUAACACAUGCAAGUCGAGGGGUAACGAGAGGAAAGCUUGCUUUCCUUGUCGACGACCGGCGCACGGGAGAGUAACGCGUAUCCAACCUGCCCCCAACAAGGGAAUAACCUUGCGAAAGUAAGACUAAUACCCUAUAAUUUCCUCAGAUGUCCUCUGACGAGCAAUAAAGAUUUAUCGGUUGUGGAUGGGGAUGCGUCUGAUUAGCUUGUUGGCGGGGUAACGGCCCACCAAGGCAACGAUCAGUAGGGGUUCUGAGAGGAAGGUCCCCCACAUUGGAACUGAGACACGGUCCAAACUCCUACGGGAGGCAGCAGUGAGGAAUAUUGGUCAAUGGGCGGAAGCCUGAACCAGCCAAGUAGCGUGCAGGAUGACGGCCCUAUGGGUUGUAAACUGCUUUUAUACAGGAAUAAAGUUAGCCACGUGUGGUUAUUUGUAGGUACUGUAUGAAUAAGGACCGGCUAAUUCCGUGCCAGCAGCCGCGGUAA